Molecule: RNA transcript, 615 nt
Organism: Rhinopithecus roxellana (golden snub-nosed monkey)
Lineage: Eukaryota; Metazoa; Chordata; Mammalia; Primates; Cercopithecidae
Gene name: 60S ribosomal protein L15 pseudogene
Exons: 3
Source: RefSeq, a predicted model, not a curated record
GGCAUCAGGUAAGCCAAGAUGGGUGCAUACAAGUACAUCCAGGAGCUAUGGAGAAAGAAGCAGUCUGAUGUCAUGCGCUUUCUUCUGAGGGUCCGCUGCUGGCAGUACCGCCAGCUCUCUGCUCUCCACAGGGCUCCCCGCCCCACCCGGCCUGAUAAAGCGCGCCGACUGGGCUACAAGGCCAAGCAAGGUUACGUUAUAUAUAGGAUUCGUGUUCGCCGUGGUGGCCGAAAACGCCCAGUUCCUAAGGGUGCAACUUACGGCAAGCCUGUCCAUCAUGGUGUUAACCAGCUAAAGUUUGCUCGAAGCCUUCAGUCCGUUGCAGAGGAGCGAGCUGGACGCCACUGUGGGGCUCUGAGAGUCCUGAAUUCUUACUGGGUUGGAGAAGAUUCCACAUACAAAUUUUUUGAGGUUAUCCUCAUUGAUCCAUUCCAAGCUUCACUUGCUAAGCUUGAAAAUCGUUUCCUCACCAAAGAACUGAUGAGAUACUCCCAAUUGGUGCCAUUGCCACCACUUGAUCAGCUCUCUUCUGAGCCUGAAAAUAGUUUGCGCUUCCUGUGCUGCAGGCAUGAAGUAGGGGAGUAUUUCGAUUUGCAGCUGUGUGCAGCCGUUUAG